Long non-coding RNA from Nicotiana attenuata, 739 nucleotides. RefSeq lists it as uncharacterized. The record is from RefSeq and is a predicted model, not a curated record. NCBI's taxonomy places the organism in Eukaryota, Viridiplantae, Streptophyta, Magnoliopsida, Solanales, Solanaceae. The transcript is spliced from 2 exons.
GCGCUGCGAAAAAUAUUAGCGUAGGCUUUAGCCGUUUCAACAUAUUAUUAUUCCCUAUGCAACUUUGGCUCCCUUUUCUCUUCUUCGUAAUUCGUGCACCUGGGGAAAAUGAAAAACCUCUUCUUAAACCCCAAAAACACACACACACACACACACAGAAAAAAGAAAAAAAAGAAAAAAAAAUUUCACUGUUAAAACUGUCUCUGCCUUUAAUGGAACAAGACAAAUAAUAAAAGAGAAAGAACAAAUCUUUUUUCAAGAAGAGAGAGAGAGAGAGAGAGAGAAAGAGUGUGUGUGUGUGUGUUUUUAAGAUCUGUUUGAAUGCAUUUUCUCACUCUGUAUUUCUCCUUUUUUUUUUUUUUGUGAAAACACUUUGACCAGUUAGGGUUUGUUUGGACCAAAACUAAGUUCUUUGGCCAUGGCAUUGCUACUGCAUUUUUCAGGAAGAUGGUUUUCCCCCCAACAAAGGUCAGAUAGAGAAGUAGGAGUUGAGCUUGCUUCAGAGGUUUUGAGCUGGUGGUCAACUGUUAAACCGGGUUGAACUUCCUUCUGAUUUUCUGGAACAUGUGAACUAAUUAUAUUGUUAGUUUAGUAGGGAAUGAAGCCAUCGGUCCGCGAAGCAUAUCAAGCUUUGUAUCAUAUUGACAAUACCAGUAGUGAUGAUUCAUAGUGCAUGAAGUAUUUUUUGGCAUCCUAAAGCUACUCAGGUUUAUAUAAUUAUAUUAUCUGAGUUUUGAUC